This 75-nucleotide transfer RNA is filed under the name Terribacillus saccharophilus. RNAcentral's name for it is "tRNA-Glu". It matches the Rfam family "tRNA". From Rfam's summary of the family: Transfer RNA (tRNA) molecules are approximately 80 nucleotides in length. The record is from RNAcentral. Lineage: Bacteria; Bacillati; Bacillota; Bacilli; Caryophanales; Bacillaceae.
GGCCCGUUGGUCAAGCGGUUAAGACACCGCCCUUUCACGGCGGUAUCACGGGUUCGAAUCCCGUACGGGUCAUCA